This is a long non-coding RNA of Coregonus clupeaformis (lake whitefish), 766 nucleotides long. RefSeq lists it as uncharacterized. The record is from RefSeq and is a predicted model, not a curated record. Lineage: Eukaryota; Metazoa; Chordata; Actinopteri; Salmoniformes; Salmonidae. The transcript has 5 exons.
GCCUGUUCACCCCGCUAUCAUCCAGAAGGCGAGUCACACUUCCCAAUGGUCCAACGCAGGAAGAGGAGUAAGAAUGGGGAAAAAGGACAAGCAAGAGGAAACGGAGGGGAAGCACAAGGCGAAUCACUCCAGUUCUUAAUACCCUUGUAAACCUCUGCAGGAGCCGAAGAUCACAAGUUCGGGGAAUUUAAAAGCUGCCUUGGGGAGCGGCCAUGUAGAUGUGGAGACCAACAGUGAUGCAUCACCACCUUCUGGAAAGAAGUAUGUUUUUCUUCUAAUGCUGAAAUUAUUCACACCAAAAGUAAAGUUUAACUUCAAUGUAAACAGAGAGUAAGAUACAGUAUGUUGGUGAUGAUGAGGUUUUCUUUAUUGGCAGUGACAUUGACUUAAACAACAAUAUCUCUGCCAAGGACAAGGAAUCAGAUGGGAGAAAAGGGAUACAGGAAAUGUUUUAGCUUGAAUAUUUUGUGAUUGUUGAUGUUUUGCUUGCCUUGUGUCAUUUCUCACCCAUUGUUAUGUCAAUGUAGCGCAAAUCUAGAAGUAGCAAAAAGAGACACCACGGGACGGACGAGGAGAAGUUGAGCAAAAAUAAGUUUGUAAACUAACAGGUGAACAGCAUUAAUUGUCAAGUUCCACAUUAAAAAGUAUUCAUACUCGGUGUAUGGGUGUUGCUAUACUCUAGUGCAGUGGUUCCCAAUUAUUUUUUAUUUUUUGAAGGAACUCAGUCCGGCUUUCAACUUACUCUUGAAAGUUGUAAUAGUAGAAU